GACGAACGCUGGCGGCGUGCUUAACACAUGCAAGUCGAACGAAAAGAGCGAAAGAGCUUGCUCUUUCCGGAAUUGAGUGGCAAACGGGUGAGUAACACGUAAACAACCUGCCUUCAGGAUGUGGACAACAGACGGAAACGACUGCUAAUACCGAAUAAGUUCCAAGGGCCGCAUGGCCCAUGGAAGAAAAGGUGGCCUCUACCUGUAAGCUAUCGCCUGACGAGGGGUUUGCGACUGAUUAGCUGGUUGGAGGGCUAACGGCCCACAAAGGCGACGAGAGGUAGCGGGUCAGAGAGGAUACGCGCACAAGCUGGAACGGAGGCACGAUCCAGACUCCUACGAGAGGCAGCAGUGGGGAAUUCUCAGGAAUGGACGCAAGCGUGACGGAGCAACGACGCGUGAGAGAUGACGGCCUUCGGGUUGUGAAAAUCUGGAAUCCGGGACGAAAAGGCAGAGUGCGAAGAACAAACUGCAUUGACGGUACCGGAAAAGCAAGCCACGGCUAACUACGUG
RNAcentral lists this ribosomal RNA (513 nucleotides) under uncultured bacterium. RNAcentral describes it as "partial 16S ribosomal RNA". It matches the Rfam family "Bacterial small subunit ribosomal RNA", at positions 28 to 507 of the family's 1533-position model. The record is from RNAcentral.